UUCCAGGAACAACAGAUGCGACCUACGGUAAGCAUUUUCAUUACUAAUCUAUCAAGAGAGCAAAUUAAAAAAAAAAAAAAAAUAACGGAAAGAAGAUACUGAACUGACCUUGUGGUUGUUUUUACUUGUUCUCCAUUAUUAACUAGGAAGGGAAGUGGUGACAUAUGAGAACCCAACUCCUUACAUAGGAAUUCACAGGUUUGUAUUUGUUCUCUUCAGGCAAAGACAUAGAAGAUCUGUCAGCAACAUACCUAAUUCAAGAGAUCAAUUCAAUACCAGAAACUUUGCAGACGAUAAUAAUCUUGAUCGCCCAGUUGCUGUUAACUUCUUCAAUGCUCAAAGACAAACAGCACCAAGAAGACGGUACUGAAGGAAACUAAUAAUUUGCAAGUGUAUUAUGAAGUUAAUCUUUCGACUAGACUAGAGAUGAAGUUAAUUUGGAAAUUGUACUUAAUAAAA
Molecule: long non-coding RNA, 459 nt
Filed under: Aquilegia coerulea
Lineage: Eukaryota; Viridiplantae; Streptophyta; Magnoliopsida; Ranunculales; Ranunculaceae
Description: long non-coding RNA (ACOE_LNC002099)
Source: RNAcentral